GCCCUUAGCCGCAGAAACGCGGCCGCCCGACCCGCCGGGCCCGGGGGUGGGGCCGCCUGCCAGUGUUUUUCCAGUUUCCCCGGUAGCUCCGGGCCGCAUUUAGAAGCCGGGAAACUGGGCCGAGGCCAGUGUCGGGGCAGCAGAGGCCCUCGCGGCCGCCGGAGCCCUGCCAAGCGGCAAGCCAGGCCAGGGCGGGUGGGGGCCGGCGUGGAGAGCGGCCGGGCCAGGGCGGCUCAGCCCACACCGUCGUCCCAGACAAGAUACAGCCGCCCGACGGCAUCUCGCGACUCCUUAAAACAAAUGAUUCUAAUCUCCGAAAACCCUAGCACCUACUGAGUGCCCAGCAAGCCCCCUGCAAGCGCUAAAAAGAUAACAUUAAGACUCACUCACCCCCUGCCCUCCCAGAGCUCUCAGUUUAGCUGGGGAGAUAGACAAACACCCAAGUAAUUCAUCCCAGGCCUGAUGUGGGACAUGCCAGCAAAGUUUCAACAAAGGGCACCUAAGAACAAAGAGAUGGAUUCUGAUUGGAGAGUAAGCCAGUGUCUGAAUGAACCCCCUGCUGCCACCAUUGCCUGGUUCUGCUUUUCUUUUGAGCCUAAUGGAUGGAUGACUCAUCACUUUGCCCACUCCAGGUCGUGAAGACCCACUGGCCAUCUGCAUGAAGACCAUCAAAUCUGGUAUCUUCAGUCCCAGAUUCUGCCC
Long non-coding RNA from Bos taurus (domestic cattle), 702 nucleotides. NCBI's taxonomy places the organism in Eukaryota, Metazoa, Chordata, Mammalia, Artiodactyla, Bovidae. The record is from Ensembl.